GGCUCAGGAUGAACGCGGGCGGUAUGCUUAACACAUGCAAGUCGAACGGAAUGCUUAGGCAUUUAGUGGCGGACGGGUGAGUAACGCGUGAGAAUUUGGCUUCAGGUCGGGGACAACAGUUGGAAACGACUGCUAAUACCGGAUAUGCCGGAAGGUGAAAGAUUUAUUGCCUGAAGAUAAGCUCGCGUCUGAUUAGCUAGUUGGUGGGGUAAGAGCCUACCAAGGCGACGAUCAGUAGCUGGUCUGAGAGGAUGAUCAGCCACACUGGGACUGAGACACGGCCCAGACUCCUACGGGAGGCAGCAGUGGGGAAUUUUCCGCAAUGGGCGAAAGCCUGACGGAGCAAUACCGCGUGAGGGAGGAAGGCUCUUGGGUCGUAAACCUCUUUUCUCAGGGAAGAAAAAAAUGACGGUACCUGAGGAAUAAGCAUCGGCUAACUCCGUGCCAGCAGCCGCGGUAAUACGGAGGAUGCAAGCGUUAUCCGGAAUGAUUGGGCGUAAAGGGUCUGUAGGUGGUGCUGUAAGUCUGCUGUUAAAGAGUCACGCUCAACGUGAUAAAAGCGGUGGAAACUACAGGACUAGAGUGCGGUCGGGGCAGAAGGAAUUCCUGGUGUAGCGGUGAAAUGCGUAGAUAUCAGGAAGAACACCGGUGGCGAAAGCGUUCUGCUAGUCCGCAACUGACACUGAGGGACGAAAGCUAGGGGAGCGAGUGGGAUUAGAUACCCCAGUAGUCCUAGCCGUAAACGAUGGAUACUAGGCGUGGCUUGUAUCGACCCGAGCCGUGCCGGAGCUAACGCGUUAAGUAUCCCGCCUGGGGAGU
RNAcentral lists this ribosomal RNA (819 nucleotides) under uncultured bacterium. RNAcentral's name for it is "bacterial SSU rRNA". It matches the Rfam family "Bacterial small subunit ribosomal RNA", at positions 21 to 881 of the family's 1533-position model. The record is from RNAcentral.